GCACAUCUGGUGCGGCCAACCGACAUGGGGCUGUCUCUUCACUCUCCCUCCCGUCAUUUGAUUUGUCGGGGUGGGAUGCUCGUGAUCGGUUGCCUGUGCGGCUCUACCCUGCUGUGGGUAGCGAAGUUGUCCCUCGAUUGAUAUUUGCUUGCCUCUCUGACAUUUUUUUGUCGUUUUGGCAGCCGAAAUGAUGGCGAAAUCCCUGUGCAGGUGCGUGGUCGAAUGUCCCCGUAGCUGUAACUUGGAAUUUUGCUGGCUCUCACGGACGCAGUGCCCAGUGCUGGCUCUGCGUGGCUUUGCCCCGCAGACUUCGGGAGGUCCCUUGUACGAAUCACUGCGAUCAGAUGCCGUUUGUCGUGUUGCUUGUUUGGCACGCAAAUCGUAUUGUUCUGUCCGGAGUCGGGAUGACGAAAGUCAGAACGAAGUGUCUGGGGCGUGCUUGCGUACACGGGGAAUGCCUCUCCGAUCGUACGAGCAGCGAUUUCCGGCUCGCGUCCUGCGAAGGCCCGCCCGUCCGGGCCGGUGCCGGAGCUGACGCGCCGGGUGUCGUU
RNAcentral lists this unclassified non-coding RNA (551 nucleotides) under Carex rosea. Its description in RNAcentral is "partial external transcribed spacer 1". The record is from RNAcentral. Lineage: Eukaryota; Viridiplantae; Streptophyta; Magnoliopsida; Poales; Cyperaceae.